Long non-coding RNA from Carassius auratus (goldfish), 225 nucleotides. RefSeq lists it as uncharacterized. The record is from RefSeq and is a predicted model, not a curated record. The transcript is spliced from 4 exons. NCBI's taxonomy places the organism in Eukaryota, Metazoa, Chordata, Actinopteri, Cypriniformes, Cyprinidae.
UGGAUGCCCUAUUUUACAUAAUCAGCAGGAGCCAGCCUGGGACAGAGCCCAUAAAUAGCCAGGCUAUGCGCCUGAUUUUGGAAGGCAGCUCCAGGGCCAGGAGCACUAAUUUUCUAAAAAAAAACAUUCUUAAAGGAGCCAGUGCCAUCUUUGGGCCCUACUUGGUGGGAGAGUGCCACUGGACCCUCUUUCAUUGCAACUUGAAAGAGGGAACUAUUACAUACA